This 484-nucleotide ribosomal RNA is filed under the name uncultured bacterium. RNAcentral's name for it is "bacterial SSU rRNA". It matches the Rfam family "Bacterial small subunit ribosomal RNA", at positions 28 to 505 of the family's 1533-position model. The record is from RNAcentral.
GAUGAACGCUAGCGGCAGGCUUAACACAUGCAAGUCGAGGGGCAGCGCGAUGUAGCAAUACAUUGGCGGCGACCGGCGCACGGGUGCGUAACACGUAUGGAAUCUGCCCUUUACUGGGGGAUAGCCCGGAGAAAUCCGGAUUAAUACCCCAUAACAAUCGAGGUGGCAUCACCUUGAUUUGAAAGCUCCGGCGGUAAAGGAUGACCAUGCGCACGAUUAGCUAGUAGGUGAGGUAACGGCUCACCUAGGCUACGAUCGUUAGGGGGCCUGAGAGGGUUAUCCCCCACACUGGUACUGAGACACGGACCAGACUCCUACGGGAGGCAGCAGUGAGGAAUAUUGGACAAUGGGGCGCAAGCCUGAUCCAGCCAUGCCGCGUGCAGGAUGACGGUCCUAUGGAUUGUAAACUGCUUUUGCACAGGAAGAAACAACGCUACGUGUAGCGUCUUGACGGUACUGUGAGAAUAAGGAUCGGCUAACUCCG